UACGGAGGGGGCGAGCGUUAUUCGGAAUUAUUGGGCGUAAAGGGCGCGUAGGCGGCCUUGUAAGUCAAAGGUGAAAUCCCUCGGCUCAACUGAGGAACUGCCUUUGAAACUGCAAGGCUUGAGGCCGGGAGGGGGUAGCGGAAUUCCCAAUGUAGCGGUGAAAUUCGUAGAUAUUCGGAGGAACACCAGUGGCGAAGGCGGCUCACUGGUCCGGUACUGACGCUGAGGUGCGAAAGCGUGGGGAGCAAACAGG
Molecule: ribosomal RNA, 253 nt
Filed under: uncultured bacterium
Lineage: Bacteria
Description: partial 16S ribosomal RNA
Rfam family: Bacterial small subunit ribosomal RNA
Source: RNAcentral